CGCAAGGCCUCUCUGCAAUUGACUCACUGGGAGCUGGGCUAACACUCAUCCUGGGCUGCCUCCUUGCAGCUGGUGAGCACACUGCUGGGUCUCACCUGUGCAGUCUAGAUCAGCCCUGCUGUGACAGACUUCUGCUCAACCGUUGCUGAAGAAAGCCUCAGAAGUAGGAACAGGAAGCUUAUUCAGGGAUAGAAUUUCCCUCAUACAGAUCUGUCCUUCUGCGUUGUCCUUUCUGAUGCCUCACCUGCCUUUGAUUCCCUCACUCCCUGUGGCCUUAUCUUGACUCUGACUCUUUGACUUUGGGUGACCUCGAACAGUUCCUCCCUCCUGGCAGUAGAGCUCCGGUUUUCCAAGGCCCAGCCUGCUCUGCGACUAACCCCAGCCUGCCCCAACUGCCUGCCACCUGAACUUGCCUUUGGCUUUGGACAGUUGUCCUUGGCUACAGACCCUAACUAGUGACAUCAGCUACCUCGCCCCAGGGCUGACACAUCCUAACCUUUCUCUUUAUGUCCCUAUGAAAGGGUUUGGCAUUCUAGCCUAGGAAGGUCACUGAAUAAGACGCUUGGAAAGACUUCUUUUACUCUACCAGGAUGUGAGUGAUGUGUUGUGGCAUUGCAAAGCCAGAGAAAACGCAUUCAGAGAGCCCUGUGUAUACUUUUUCUGCCUUUCUUGGUGAGGAAGCCAAAGUUCAUAGAAGUGUAAGGUUACUCAUCCAGGCUAUACAGGGCAAUUCUUCAGGAAGAGGGACCAUUGGCAUUACUCGAAGUUUCAAAGACAGUCAUGAACAAUCUGGAACCCAGGACAGGAGAAACAGAGCCAUUCCCCUAAAGACUGCACCAAUCAAGUCUGGUCUGGUAUUAAUUUGAGUAUGUGACAAACAGCAACAUCUCUAAAUGGCAGGAAACAACAAAACGGGAAAUCUGUCAGCAUCUGCAUCAUGCAGGAGAUAGAACAUCAUGCAGGUUUUCGCCUAAUGAUUGGCUCCCGGGAGAGUAAUUAGUAAUUGGCGCACUUCUUGCUGGUGCAACCUUGGCUUCUCUGCCAGAGGAUUCUGAGAAAAGACCGGCCUCAAGGCCUUGAUUCAUGGAAAAAUUACUCCAGGUGCCUGGCUGUGGGCACUGUUCAGCUUUAAUACGGUGGCACUAACACUUAUGCCUUGCACCUGUGAUGACUGAUCCAGAACCAGCAUAAAGGGAGUCUAAGCUGAGAACGACUGCUUCGAGAGCCCUUGUUCAAUUCAACAGCAGCUCUCGACAAAACGCUAACCUCUUCCCAUUGAUCACAGCAUGUCUACGUGAAAGCACAGAUGGCCACAGUGGAGUCCACCCACAAAGCAGCUCUAAUAUGGAGAAAACCAACCCACAAUUUCAGCUCCAAGAAGGAGGCGGAGGAGAGCAUUACUGCCAAACCCCGGACAUCUGCCUGGCUGCCAGCCAACCGUCACAGUAUCCUCCCUGCGAACAUUGCAUGUGGCAGCUCACACCCUUGCCAAGUCAUGAAAAUGAUUACCCUACGGCUGUAUGGUGGUGAAAUGGGAAGAGUUUCAAUGACUCAGUUUUGUAAAACACCAAGAAAAAAAAAGACAAGUGAGCACAAGGAAACGAAGAAAGACCAACAAACUUCCUUGUUUCCAAGAAGCAGAAGCACUGAGAAAUGAAAGUCAAGUAUUGCAAGCUCUCAGUCAUAUGACCUGAAAUGAAAAGAUGGAGAUGAUAUGGAUAAAUCAAACGGGAAAGUAUCAGUAGAAUAUUUUUAAAAGUACACAUUUGGCUUGGGCAGGAACUUCUUGCUUUCAUUCAGUAACAUUAAAUACCCUUUCCUAAUCAAGUUUGGCUUAGUUGAAAUCAAAAUUAGUUUCUGUUUCCUGAGCCACUGAAAGCAAGGGGAGGUGACUUAGAACAUUAUUCUGGCUAAAGCAAUUGCAGCUUAACUAAGGACAAGCCACAAAGUAGAAUCCUACAUUCAGAUAAUAUGGAACUCAAUUUAACACACACUCUUUUUUAUUUUCUUUUCUUGUGCUUUUUUUUUUUUUUUCAUGAGGAAGAUUGUCACUGAGCUCACAUCUAUGGCAACUUUCCUCUAUUUUGUAUGUCGGACACCAACAUAGCAUGGUUUGAGAAAUGGUGGGUAGGUCCACACACGAGAUUUGAACCCACAAGCCCCAGGCCUCUGAAGCAGAGCAUGCAAACUUAACCACUACACCACAGGGCAAGCCCCUGACACACAUUCUGCAUAGCAGAGCUCCACAUUCAUGACUAAGACAACCCAACCCAAUAGCAACAGCAUCACCUUCCUUCACUCCCACCAAGUGAAAAUACACUGGAGAAUGGCUAAGCUCCAAAACAGUGAGUUGCUAAUCAUGAUGGUUUCCGUGCUUCUUUUAGAGGAAAUGAGAAGAAAUCCAAUGCCUGCAUGUGUCUUUUCAGGAAAUUGCUCAUCUGUCUAAUUAAGCUCUUCUUUCUUCAUAGGUCUGUGGAUACAUUCAGCAGACACGUGGCUUCCAGAAAACCUUCUUGCCCUCUUUCUUUUGGGCAUUCGAAGUUUCUGAUGUGAUAGAAUCUCCUUAAAAUGGAGAUUUGUGAAAAUUAAAGUCUCCUUUUAAUUUUUAAAAAUUAAAUUCUCUAUGUUAAGAAGAUU
Equus caballus (horse) is the source of this 2637-nucleotide long non-coding RNA. The record is from Ensembl. Lineage: Eukaryota; Metazoa; Chordata; Mammalia; Perissodactyla; Equidae.